RNAcentral lists this transfer RNA (21 nucleotides) under Ranitomeya ventrimaculata (Amazonian poison frog). RNAcentral describes it as "partial tRNA-Phe". Lineage: Eukaryota; Metazoa; Chordata; Amphibia; Anura; Dendrobatidae. The record is from RNAcentral.
GCCCAUAGGCCCUUAAACAUA